AUCAGCCAUUUUAUUCCUCCUCAGAAGCCUCUUUUAUCUAUUGGGGGGGGAAAAAGACACAGAUGAUGUGGCAUGUUCUUAAAUCCAUCUCCAUUCAUUUUUCCUGUCUCCCAGUCAGAUACAGAGUUUUGGGAUAAGAUGCAAGCAGAAUGGGAAGAAAUGGCUCGGAGGAACUGGAUAUCUGAGAACCAAGAAGCCCAGAACCAAGUAACCAUCUCGGCUAGUGAGAAGGGAUAUUACUUUCACACUGAAAACCCCUUCAAGGACUGGCCUGGAGCAUUUGAAGAAGGCUUAAAAAGGCUGAAGGAAGGGGAUCUGCCAGUCACCAUCCUGUUCAUGGAAGCAGCAAUUCUUCAGGACCCUGGAGAUGCAGAGGCAUGGCAGUUCCUCGGGAUAACCCAGGCGGAGAAUGAAAAUGAACAAGCAGCUAUUGUCGCCCUCCAGAGGUGCUUAGAAUUACAGCCCAACAACUUAAAAGCUUUGAUGGCCUUGGCUGUGAGUUAUACUAACACUGGCCAUCAGCAGGAUGCCUGUGACGCUCU
This 542-nucleotide small RNA is filed under the name Pan troglodytes (chimpanzee). Its description in RNAcentral is "retained intron". The record is from RNAcentral. Lineage: Eukaryota; Metazoa; Chordata; Mammalia; Primates; Hominidae.